UACAGAGGUCUCAAGCGUUGUUCGGAUUCAUUGGGCGUAAAGGGUGCGUAGGCGGUAUCGUAAGUCGGAUGUGAAAUCUUGGGGCUCAACCUCAAAACUGCAUUCGAUACUGCGAUGCUAGAGGACUGGAGAGGAGAGUGGAAUUCACGGUGUAGCAGUGAAAUGCGUAGAUAUCGUGAGGAAGACCAGCGGCGAAGGCGGCUCUCUGGACAGUUCCUGACGCUGAUGCACGAAGGCCAGGGGAGCAAACGGG
Molecule: ribosomal RNA, 253 nt
Filed under: uncultured bacterium
Lineage: Bacteria
Description: partial 16S ribosomal RNA
Rfam family: Bacterial small subunit ribosomal RNA
Source: RNAcentral